Molecule: ribosomal RNA, 2970 nt
Filed under: Pinus taeda (loblolly pine)
Lineage: Eukaryota; Viridiplantae; Streptophyta; Pinopsida; Pinales; Pinaceae
Description: eukaryotic LSU rRNA
Rfam family: Eukaryotic large subunit ribosomal RNA (bases 29-2223)
Source: RNAcentral
CAGGUAGGGUAGAAUUAGCUUCAACUUGUGACCUCAGCUUAGGUGAGAACACCCACUGAGUUUCAACAUAUAAGUAAGCAGAGGAAAAGAAACUUACGAGGAUUCUCCUAGUAGUGGUGAGCGAACCGAGAAGAGACCAACAUGAAAAUCGGGUGGAAUCAUUGUCUAAAUUGUUGUCUAUAGAAGCAUCCUUAGCGGUGGACCUAGGCCAAGUCCCUUGGAAGGGGGUGCUUGAGAGGAAGAUAGUCUCGUCAGGCUGGGACCCUAUUGCAUCACGAGGCAUUGUCGGUGAGUUGGUUUGUUUGAGAAUGCAACCCUAAUUGGGUGGUGAAUUCUGUCCAAGGCUAAAUAUGGGUAAGAGACUGAUAGCAAAGAAGUACCACGAGGGAAAGAUGAAAAGGAAUUUGAAAAGAGAGUUCAAUAGUGUUUGAAAUUUCUGGGAGGGAAGCCGAUGGAGUUUGUUGAUGCGUCUUGGUCAGAUGUUGAAUGGUUCAAGCUGGUCUGCCGCUAAAAUUGAGGUGAAAGACAACAUGGGAUGCUACAUCAUCACAAGCACGGGUGGAUUACUACUUGUUAGUUUUCCAUUGCGGUGGUCGAAGAACGAAGCAUGCACCCUUGUGGUAGGCCGUGUGCACCUGCGCACUCGUGGUGUUGGUUGACAGUAUUUCCAUUCGAGUCAUCUUGAAACACGGGCCAAGGAGUCAAACAUGUGUUUGAGUAGGUAGGUUUGGAAACCUGUGAGGCACAAGGAAGCUAAUGGGUGAGAUACCCCUAUAGGGGGUGGAUUUUCGACUGACCUUGUGCUUAUGCAAAGGGCUUGAGUGCGAGCACACCUGUUGGGACGCGAAUGAUGGUGAACUAUUCCUGAGUAGGGUGAAGCUAGAGGAAAAUCUGGGGGAGGCUCAUAGCAAUACUAACAUGAAAAUAAUUUGUCUAACUUGGGUAUGGGGGCUAAAGACUAAUCAAACCUUCUAGUAGCUCGUUUCCUUUGAAGUUUCCCUCAGGAUAGUUGUAGCUCACAUGUGAGUUUUAUUAGUUAAAGAAAAUGAUUAGAGGCAUUGGGAGCAUAACAGCCUUGACCUAUUCUCAAAAUUUAAAUAGGUAAGAGGGUGCAACUGUUCCAUUGAGCCGUUCCAUGGGAUCGAGAGAUCCAAGUGGACCAUUUUUUGUAAGCAAAACUGGUGAUGCAGGAUGAACCAAAAGUCGAGUUAUGGUGUUGAAUUGCAUGCUAACCUAGAUCGUACAAGGACUGUUGGUUGAUUAAGAGAGUAGGACGGUGGUCAUGGAGAUCGAAAUCCUCUAAGGAGUGUGCAACAACUCACCUACCAAAUCAACUAGCCCUGAAAAUGGAUGGUAAUGAAGCACACAACCUAUACUCGAUCAUCGAAGCAAUUUCCUAACUUCGAUGAGUAGGGGGACAUGAGGGUUGUUGAGCAAUGUUGGCUAUCAGCCUGGGCGGAUCGUCCCUCGGUGCAGAUCUUGGUGGUAGUAGAAAAUAUUCAAAUGAGAACUUUGAAGACUGAAGUGGAGAAAGGUUCCAUGUGAACAGCACUUGGACACGGGUUAAUCGAUCCUCAGAGAUGGGAAAGCCUUGUAUCAAGGGUGCACUCUACAUGAGCAUUACAAGGGAAUCAGGUUAAUAUUCCUGAACCAGGACAUGGCAGUGGGUGGCAACGCUAAGAAAUCUGGAUACAUCGUUGGGGGCCCCGGGAAGAGUUAUCUUUUAUUUUUAACAGUUUUCCCACCUUGGAAUUAGUUCACCAAGUGAUAGUGUCCAACAGCUCGAAGAGCACUGCACAUCUUGUGGUGUUUGGUGUGCCCUCAGUGGCCCUUGAAAAUCUGAAGGACAGAGUACCAUUCAUGUCUGGUCGUACUCAUAACCGCAUCACGUCUCCAAGGUGAAAAACCUCUAGUCAAUAUAACAAUGUAGGUAAAGGAAGACAACAAAACGGAUCCGUAACUUUGAGAAAAGGAUUGACUCUAAGGGUUGGGCCUAGGGGUUUGCACCCUCAACUUCUGGGAUGUCGGCAGUCUACCCGAGCUGCUCCCGCGGCAAGGGUGAGCAGUCAUGUGUCAAUUAGGAUACGGGCAUAGAAUGCCCCCUACUGGGGACUUUUCCCUAUGUGAUGAACAAUCUACUCAGAAAUGGUAGGGACAAGGGGAAUUGUUUGGUCAAUUUAGUAUUCCUAAAUUGAUAUCAUUAAUUGUCAACCCGGGGCUCGUAAGCUGAUGAAGUGAAGGUGUACUAUAUGUACUUAAGCAACCUCUUAAAGCUUUUUGUCGUUUGGGGGUGUUGUUUGUGAUUAUUUUUAUCUUCCUAAGAUGAAAUGAUGUAUUUAUAAACAAAUGAGUGAUGGUGUGUGUGGAGUGAAUUCUAAAUAUGUGAGGGUGUGUGAUUAGUGAUUCCUAACUAAUUGCUGAGAAAGGAAUGCUUUGAAGGAAAUGAAUUAAAAUAACUGAAAGCAAAGAACCACUCUUCUAAUGGCAUUAGACACCAUUCAUGCUGCUGCAAAAAUAAGAAAAUCACUUAAAAGACCAAUGAUAAAGUUUAUCUCUUCUUAACUCUCUGCCUCUAACACAUAGUACUGUGUAAGACACGAUUAAGAAGUAGCUAAAAGUAAGUCUAAUAACUGAUAAAAAUGAGAAAAUCUACUUUAAAGACUAGUGAUAUUAUUUUGCUCUUUCUAACUCUCUGCCUAUAUGACAUAGUACUGUGUAAAGCACGAUUAGAGAGUAGCUAAGGAUUAGUCUAGAAAGCACUCAAAGCCAGCUGCAAGUAAUUAAUGUUCUGAUCUCUAAAACGAUAAACAAUUUAUAGUAAGAGACCAUACAUAUAUUAGCAGACAGUUUUGAAAAUUAAAGCUAAAAACUAAUUAUGGAAAUAGAAUAAGGACCAGCAGCUUUAAAUUUGUCAACUGAAACUACCACUAGAUGCAAAGAAAACACAUGAACACACAAAUAAUCCCGGGU